GCAACGGGUUAGGCAACGGGUUAGGCAACGGGUUAGGCAACGGGUUAGGCAACGGGUUAGGCAACGGGUUAGGCAACGGGUUAGGCAACGGGUUAGGCAACGGGUUAGGCAACGGGUUAGGGUUAGGCAACGGGUUAGGGUUAGGGUUAGGGUUAGGCAACGGGUUAGGGUUAGGGUUAGGCAACGGGUUAGGGUUAGGGUUAGGCAACGGGUUAGGGUUAGGCAACGGGUUAGGGUUAGGCAACGGGUUAGGGUUAGGGUUAGGGUUAGGCAACGGGUUAGGGUUAGGCAACGGGUUAGGGUUAGGCAACGGGUUAGGGUUAGGCAACGGGUUAGGGUUAGGCAACGGGUUAGGGUUAGGCAACGGGUUAGGGUUAGGGUUAGGGUUAGGGUUAGGGUUAGGGUUAGGGUUAGGGUUAGGGUUAGGGUUAGGGUUAGGGUUAGGGUUAGGGUUAGGGUUAGGGUUAGGGUUAGGGUUAGGGUUAGGGUUAGGGUUAGGGUUAGGGUUAGGGUUAGGGUUAGGGUUAGGGUUAGGCAACGGGUUAGGCAACGGGUUAGGCAACGGGUUAGGCAACGGGUUAGGCAACGGGUUAGGCAACGGGUUAGGCAACGGGUUAGGGUUAGGGUUAGGGUUAGGGUUAGGGUUAGGGUUAGGGUUAGGGUUAGGGUUAGGGUUAGGGUUAGGGUUAGGGUUAGGGUUAGGGUUAGGGUUAGGGUUAGGGUUAGGGUUAGGGUUAGGGUUAGGGUUAGGGUUAGGGUUAGGGUUAGGGUUAGGGUUAGGGUUAGGGUUAGGGUUAGGGUUAGGGUUAGGGUAAGGGUUAGGGUUAGGGUUAGGGUUAGGGUUAGGGUUAGGGUUAGGGGUAGGGUUAGGGUUAGGGUUAGGGUUAGGGUUAGGGUUAGGGUUAGGGUUAGGGUAAGGGUUAGGGUAAGGGUUAGGGUUAGGGUUAGGGUUAGGGUUAGGGUUAGGGUUAGGGUUAGGGUUAGGGUUAGGGUUAGGGUUAGGGUUAGGGUUAGGGUUAGGGUUAGG
Molecule: long non-coding RNA, 1027 nt
Filed under: Gallus gallus (chicken)
Lineage: Eukaryota; Metazoa; Chordata; Aves; Galliformes; Phasianidae
Description: lncRNA (ENSGALG00010007606.1)
Source: RNAcentral